GUGGCUAGACAUGUCUCAAAAUGUGUAGUCUGAAGGCCUGGCUGGGGAGAAAUCCCGAGCCACCUGUGACAUCAAGAUCAAGAUCAACGAGGUGAGCACUGAGCUGACCCCUAGUGAUGCUGACCCUUAGUGACCCUUAUAUUUAGUAGUGCUUACCGCUCGUGACGGUUCAAGAGGCCUGGGAGCCAGUGGUCACAAAGGGCGCCUCCUCUCUGUCCCAUGGCGGUCAUAUUUAUUAGUGAACGUGUUUGUGUUCUGGCCCGUGACAACACCCUCGGGGAGACAGUUCCGCUGGCUGGUAAUUCUUGCGGAUGUGGUGUUGGCCAUGCUGGGAGGAACACAGCGCCAGGAGACAGCUGCUCAAGUGAGGGUCUGAAGCGGACGCUGUGCUCAGCGCUCGCUGCGUCCAUGCUGCCACUGACCUCAGGACCCCUUGGUGCAUCCCUUGCCUCGCCUGCCGCUUGGUCCCUGAGUGUGGCGUCGGGGGAACCUUGCCACCCGCUGCAGCUUCCCUGAGGUUCCUGCAAGACCCUCACCCCAGGAGUGGUGGGCAGGGGAGGCUGCAAGGCCGGGUAGCAGCCUGAGUGGCGGGACCAGCAGGAACACUGCCACUGCUGUGCUGUGAGGACCAGAAGAACACAGCCAUUACCAACAACAACAUCACCACCACCACCUUGCUGCUGCCAUCUCCAGAAAGGAAAAGGAAAGUUUGAGUGUGACAAGAUUUGAGACUGGGAAGAAGUUCAGCAGACACAGCCUUGCACACAUUGGUGAGGGAAACCAUGAGUGGCCAGCGUGUGGGGAAAGACUCCCUGGGAAGGCUGACCUCAGGAAAUACACCCACACACUCUGCUGAAGGACCCCAUGAAUGCCUCGACUGUGGCAAAAAGUUCAGUUACAAGAGUAAACUCAACAGACACACCCUUACACACACUGGUGAAAGGCCUCAUGAAUGCCAGGAGUGUGGAAAAAGGUUUACACAGAAGAGUAUCCUCAACACACACACCCUUACACACACUGGUGAAAAGCCUCAUGAGUGUGAGGUUUGUGGUGAGACAUUCAGUAUGAAGAGCCUGCUCAAAGCACACACUUAUAAACAUUCUGGUGAAAGGCCUCAUGAAUGCCAAGAGUGUGGAAAAAGGUUUACACAGAAGAGUAUCCUCAACAUACACACCCUUACACACACUGGUGAAAGGCCUCAUGAGUGUGAGGUUUGUGGUGACACAUUCAUUACGAAGAUCCAGCUCAAGGUACACACUUAUAAACACACUGGUGAAAGGCCUCAUGAGUGUCUGGAAUGUGGAGAAAGGUUCAGAGGGAAGCAAACCUUGGAGCGUCACAUCUUCAGACACUCUGGCCUGAGAGAGUUUAAGUGUGAUGUGUGUGGGAAGCACUUCAAGAUGAAGACGGACAUUGCCCAGCACAUGAAGACCCACUUCUGAGGUGCCGUGUUGUGCUGCUGUGUGGGACCUCAGUGACGGGGAACCAGUCAUCAACACCACCUGGAGAGGACUGGCACCAUGUUGUGGCUGACUGCUGAGAGAUGCACCAACAAGCUGCACCACAGUGAACAGUGCCGUCUGCCCCGAGCCAGUGGUAACAACUCUGUCACCUUGCCCCCAGCACAGUGCAGCAGCCAACAAGCUGCACCACAGUGAACAGUGCCAUCUGCCCUGAGCCAGUGGUGACAACCCUGUCACCUUGCCUUGGCACAGUGCAGCAGCGGUGACUCGGGCCGCCACAACCGACCAUCAACAGGAUUAGCAAGGAGACGCUGUGUGAAGGUUUGUCAAGUUUGGGUAUGAGUGGACUGCUGCUCCCCUGCCUGCAUCCUCAUCCAGGCCCACAGACACACCACAGCGGGCGUGGCGCGCUGAGCGUGGCCGUGCGGCGCUUGGCGGAGGAGGCAGCGGCUGUGUCCUCCUGGGUGCUGAGGUCCAGCAUCUGUCUGUGUCUGCAGGGCAGGAUGGGACACAUGUGCUCCCCAGCAGGGGCGGCAGGCCACCUGUCUGACUGGCCUGCACACAGUGGCGGGACAGUCCAGCUGUCAGCCAGCCUUCAGCAGCAGUCUGUUGAGGAGAACAGAGGAUGUUACUCAACACAGAAAAGGAAAUUUCAGUUUUCAAGAGUGAGAGAAACAGUCUACUGAAGUCUUUCCUGUUCAUCAGUCACUUUGGGUGUGACUGGCAGGCUCAGCGGAGAGGCCAUGUCAUCACUGCCACCUUCUCUCUCAUAUUGAUAACUACAUAAAAGUUUUAAACAUUCUGAGUACAUUUAAUUAUGAGAAGGAAAAAUAAUUCAACAAAAGAUUGCUUUUCUGAGGACAAAGGUCAUCACUCCUGUCAUCCAAGCCUUAUAUAGUUAGCCAGGCCACUUAAAACUUUUACCUCAUGGGUGGUGCAGAAUAUUAUUCAAAAUAAUAGAAUUCUUAUUGUAAAAAGGAGAGAGAGAGAGAGAGAGAGAGAGAGAGAGAGAGAGAGAGAGAGAGAGAGAGAGAGAGAGAGAGAGAGGCAGGGGGGUGAGGGUCCUUUAUGUGUCUGGGGGCAUUUGUCUGUGGGGUUUGUAAACAUACUGUGGGGAGACAUCCUGUGGGUCCUGUGAGGUGAGGUGAGAGAGAGAGAGAGAGAGAGAGAGAGAGAGAGAGAGAGAGAGAGAGAGAGAGAGAGGCGAGGGGGAGGGUCCUUUAUGUAUCUGUGGGGAGACAUCCUGUGUGUCCUGUGUGCUGUGAUGAGGUGAGAGAGAGAGAGAGAGAGUGCACCACAUGGGUUUCCGGGCUGUGUUGUGCUGUUUCUCAUGAGCAACAUUUCAACAGAGCGUUGGACAAGGAAGAUAAUUUGGCAGAGCACAUUUCAGACCUGGCCCUGUUUACAUCCGUGUGGUUCACUGACAAAAUGUGGAUGACCAAAGUACUCGUGAGGGACAUGCAAUGACAGAGUCUGGCAGGUGGAGUGGUUCCUGACACAGGGCCGGCGUGGCGGUGCUGUGAUGUGGUCCAUGGCCAGCGCACCGCCACGCACCGCAAACCACCUGUGCCGGAUUGUUGCAUUCCGUGUCUCUUGUGAGUGCUCUCAUCAUCCACACUGUUAGUGAACCAUAGUGGUGAAAUUACGGCAAGGUCUAAAACACUGCCAAAGUAUCAUCCCUGUGCGACACUUUCUUAAAGUUAUUCCCGAGAAAGAUAUAACACAGCCCUGAAACCCUUACAGUCUCUCUCUGAAACCCACAGUGGCUUUGUUGCCUCACACAUCAACACUGUAAGAAAUGUACACUGUAUUCAGUGAGCUGUGAACUCUGCUCACCUUGUCUGCAAGACUUAAGGAAAUACACUGAAGGGAAGCUCAAA
Molecule: long non-coding RNA, 3343 nt
Organism: Eriocheir sinensis (Chinese mitten crab)
Lineage: Eukaryota; Metazoa; Arthropoda; Malacostraca; Decapoda; Varunidae
Exons: 3
Source: RefSeq, a predicted model, not a curated record